GGACCCGCACAAGCGGUGGAGCAUGUGGUUUAAUUCGAUGCAACGCGAAGAACCUUACCUGGUCUUGACAUCCUGCGAACUUUCUAGAAAUAGAUUGGUGCCUUCGGGAACGCAGUGACAGGUGCUGCAUGGCUGUCGUCAGCUCGUGUCGUGAGAUGUUGGGUUAAGUCCCGUAACGAGCGCAACCCCUAUCCUUAUUUGCCAGCACAUUAUGGUGGGAACUAUAAGGAGACUGCCGGUGAUAAACCGGAGGAAGGCGGGGACGACGUCAAGUCAUCAUGGCCCUUACGACCAGGGCUACACACGUGCUACAAUGGGAUGGACAAGAGUCGCGAAGCCGCGAGGUGUAGCUAAUCUCAUAAACCUUCUCGUAGUCCGGAUUGGAGUCUGCAACUCGACUCCAUGAAGUCGGAAUCGCUAGUAAUCGUAGAUC
This 433-nucleotide ribosomal RNA is filed under the name uncultured bacterium. Its description in RNAcentral is "bacterial SSU rRNA". It matches the Rfam family "Bacterial small subunit ribosomal RNA", at positions 917 to 1350 of the family's 1533-position model. The record is from RNAcentral.